RNAcentral lists this ribosomal RNA (253 nucleotides) under uncultured bacterium. RNAcentral describes it as "partial 16S ribosomal RNA". It matches the Rfam family "Bacterial small subunit ribosomal RNA", at positions 524 to 776 of the family's 1533-position model. The record is from RNAcentral.
UACGUAGGGUGCAAGCGUUAAUCGGAAUUACUGGGCGUAAAGCGUGCGCAGGCGGUUUUGUAAGUCUGUCGUGAAAGCCCCGGGCUUAACCUGGGAAUUGCGAUGGAGACUGCAAGGCUUGAAUCUGGCAGAGGGGGGUAGAAUUCCACGUGUAGCAGUGAAAUGCGUAGAGAUGUGGAGGAACACCGAUGGCGAAGGCAGCCCCCUGGGUCAAGACUGACGCUCAUGCACGAAAGCGUGGGGAGCAAACAGG